UUUAAUAUAGCAAAUUUAGUGCAUUGAAUUUAAACUUCAAAUAUAAAGAUGAAAUUAGUCUUUUAUUAAAA
Molecule: transfer RNA, 71 nt
Filed under: Thyreus decorus
Lineage: Eukaryota; Metazoa; Arthropoda; Insecta; Hymenoptera; Apidae
Description: tRNA-Leu
Source: RNAcentral